RNAcentral lists this ribosomal RNA (472 nucleotides) under uncultured bacterium. RNAcentral's name for it is "bacterial SSU rRNA". It matches the Rfam family "Bacterial small subunit ribosomal RNA", at positions 366 to 830 of the family's 1533-position model. The record is from RNAcentral.
GGACAAUGGGCGCAAGCCUGAUCCAGCCAUGCCGCGUGAGUGAAGAAGGCCUUCGGGUUGUAAAGCUCUUUCAGCCGGGAAGAAAACGCAUGGGUUAAUACCCUGUGUGGAUGACGGUACCGGAAUAAGAAGCACCGGCUAACUACGUGCCAGCAGCCGCGGUAAUACGUAGGGUGCGAGCGUUAAUCGGAAUUACUGGGCGUAAAGCGUGCGCAGGCGGUUUGUUAAGAUAGGCGUGAAAUCCCCGGGCUCAACCUGGGAACUGCGUUUAUGACUGGCAGGCUAGAGUAUGGCAGAGGGGGGUGGAAUUCCACGUGUAGCAGUGAAAUGCGUAGAGAUGUGGAGGAACACCGAUGGCGAAGGCAGCCCCCUGGGCCAAUACUGACGCUCAUGCACGAAAGCGUGGGUAGCAAACAGGAUUAGAUACCCUGGUAGUCCACGCCCUAAACGAUGUCAACUAGGUGUUGGGAGG